This 419-nucleotide ribosomal RNA is filed under the name uncultured bacterium. RNAcentral describes it as "bacterial SSU rRNA". It matches the Rfam family "Bacterial small subunit ribosomal RNA", at positions 355 to 786 of the family's 1533-position model. The record is from RNAcentral.
UGGGGAAUAUUGCGCAAUGGGCGGAAGCCUGACGCAGCGACGCCGCGUGGGGGAUGACGGCCUUCGGGUUGUAAACCUCUUUCAGCUCCGACGAAGCGAGAGUGACGGUAGGGGCAGAAGAAGCACCGGCCAACUACGUGCCAGCAGCCGCGGUAAUACGUAGGGUGCAAGCGUUGUCCGGAAUUAUUGGGCGUAAAGAGCUCGUAGGCGGUCUGUCGCGUCGGCUGUGAAAACCCGGAGCUCAACUCCGGGCCUGCAGUCGAUACGGGCAGACUGGAGUUCGGCAGGGGAGACUGGAAUUCCUGGUGUAGCGGUGAAAUGCGCAGAUAUCAGGAGGAACACCGGUGGCGAAGGCGGGUCUCUGGGCCGAUACUGACGCUGAGGAGCGAAAGCGUGGGGAGCGAACAGGAUUAGAUACC